AGAGUUUGAUCCUGGCUCAGGAUGAACGCUGGCGGCGUGCCUAAUACAUGCAAGUCGAGCGAACUGACGAGGAGCUUGCUCCUUUGACGUUAGCGGCGGACGGGUGAGUAACACGUGGGUAACCUACCUAUAAGACUGGAAUAACUCCGGGAAACCGGGGCUAAUGCCGGAUAACAUGUUGAACCGCAUGGUUCAACAGUGAAAGACGGUCUUGCUGUCACUUAUAGAUGGACCCGCGCCGUAUUAGCUAGUUGGUAAGGUAACGGCUUACCAAGGCGACGAUACGUAGCCGACCUGAGAGGGUGAUCGGCCACACUGGAACUGAGACACGGUCCAGACUCCUACGGGAGGCAGCAGUAGGGAAUCUUCCGCAAUGGGCGAAAGCCUGACGGAGCAACGCCGCGUGAGUGAUGAAGGUCUUCGGAUCGUAAAGCUCUGUUGUUAGGGAAGAACAUAUGUGUAAGUAACUGUGCACAUCUUGACGGUACCUAACCAGAAAGCCACGGCUAACUACGUGCCAGCAGCCGCGGUAAUACGUAGGUGGCAAGCGUUAUCCGGAAUUAUUGGGCGUAAAGCGCGCGUAGGCGGUUUUUUAAGUCUGAUGUGAAAGCCCACGGCUCAACCGUGGAGGGUCAUUGGAAACUGGAAAACUUGAGUGCAGAAGAGGAAAGUGGAAUUCCAUGUGUAGCGGUGAAAUGCGCAGAGAUAUGGAGGAACACCAGUGGCGAAGGCGGCUUUCUGGUCUGUAACUGACGCUGAGGUGCGAAAGCGUGGGGAUCAAACAGGAUUAGAUACCCUGGUAGUCCACGCCGUAAACGAUGAGUGCUAAGUGUUAGGGGGUUUCCGCCCCUUAGUGCUGCAGCUAACGCAUUAAGCACUCCGCCUGGGGAGUACGGUCGCAAGACUGAAACUCAAAGGAAUUGACGGGGACCCGCACAAGCGGUGGAGCAUGUGGUUUAAUUCGAAGCAACGCGAAGAACCUUACCAAAUCUUGACAUCUUUUGACCGCUCUAGAGAUAGAGUUUUCCUCUUCGGAGGAAAAUGACAGGUGGUGCAUGGUUGUCGUCAGCUCGUGUCGUGAGAUGUUGGGUUAAGUCCCGCAACGAGCGCAACCCUUAAGCUUAGUUGCCAUCAUUAAGUUGGGCACUCUAAGUUGACUGCCGGUGACAAACCGGAGGAAGGUGGGGAUGACGUCAAAUCAUCAUGCCCCUUAUGAUUUGGGCUACACACGUGCUACAAUGGACAAUACAAAGGGCAGCGAAACCGCGAGGUCAAGCAAAUCCCAUAAAGUUGUUCUCAGUUCGGAUUGUAGUCUGCAACUCGACUACAUGAAGCUGGAAUCGCUAGUAAUCGUAGAUCAGCAUGCUACGGUGAAUACGUUCCCGGGUCUUGUACACACCGCCCGUCACACCACGAGAGUUUGUAACACCCGAAGCCGGUGGAGUAACCAUUUUGGAGCUAGCCGUCGAAGGUGGGACAAAUGAUUGGGGUGAAGUCGUAACAAGGUAACC
Molecule: ribosomal RNA, 1511 nt
Filed under: Staphylococcus agnetis
Lineage: Bacteria; Bacillati; Bacillota; Bacilli; Caryophanales; Staphylococcaceae
Description: bacterial SSU rRNA
Rfam family: Bacterial small subunit ribosomal RNA
Source: RNAcentral